UUGACCCGUCUUGAAACACGGACCAAGGAGUUUAUCGUGUGCGCAAGUCAUUGGGUGUUGAAAACUCAAAGGCGCAAUGAAAGUAAAGAAUCCGCAAGGAUACGACGUGUGAUCUGAGCAAUCACGAUUGCCUGGAGCAACAUGGCCCCAUUCUGGUCGCUUGCGACGGGGUGGAGGAAGAGCGUACGCGGUGAGACCCGAAAGAUGGUGAACUAUUCCUGAGCAGGAUGAAGCCAGAGGAAACUCUGGUGGAAGUCCGAAGCGAUUCUGACGUGCAAAUCGAUCGUCUGACUUGGGUAUAGGGGCGAAAGACUAAUCGAACCAUCUAGUAGCUGGUUCCUUCC
RNAcentral lists this ribosomal RNA (344 nucleotides) under Pratylenchus penetrans. Its description in RNAcentral is "partial large subunit ribosomal RNA". It matches the Rfam family "Eukaryotic large subunit ribosomal RNA", at positions 644 to 962 of the family's 3401-position model. The record is from RNAcentral. Lineage: Eukaryota; Metazoa; Nematoda; Chromadorea; Rhabditida; Pratylenchidae.